Molecule: ribosomal RNA, 490 nt
Filed under: uncultured bacterium
Lineage: Bacteria
Description: bacterial SSU rRNA
Rfam family: Bacterial small subunit ribosomal RNA
Source: RNAcentral
GAACGCUAGCUACAGGGCUUAACACAUGCAAGUCGAGGGGAAACGAUAUUGGAAGCUUGCUUCUGAUAGGCGUCGACCGGCGCACGGGUGAGUAACGCGUAUCCAACCUGCCCAUCACUUGGGGAUAACCUUGCGAAAGUAAGACUAAUACCCAAUGACGUCUCUAGAAGACAUCUGAAGGAGAUUAAAGAUUUAUCGGUGAUGGAUGGGGAUGCGUCUGAUUAGCUUGUUGGCGGGGUAACGGCCCACCAAGGCGACGAUCAGUAGGGGUUCUGAGAGGAAGGCCCCCCACAUUGGAACUGAGACACGGUCCAAACUCCUACGGGAGGCAGCAGUGAGGAAUAUUGGUCAAUGGACGAGAGUCUGAACCAGCCAAGUAGCGUGCAGGAUGACGGCCCUAUGGGUUGUAAACUGCUUUUAUAAGGGAAUAAAGUGAGUCUCGUGAGACUUUUUGCAUGUACCUUAUGAAUAAGGACCGGCUAAUUCCGUG